CCACCACAACGGAGGCCUGAACAGUGUCAUCUGGGACAUGUCCCAGGUGCACCUCCCACUCAUUGGCUGCCUUCGCCCUCCCUGGUGGAGCAUUACCAAGGAGGACUAGUUCCACAAAUAUUUUUCUUAACAGUUCUUUGGGGCUAUAGGAAACUUAACUUCCCCCAUCCUGCUAGUCAGCCACAACAUGUUAUUGUCACUGUUUGCAAAGUGCUGUUUAAUCUUUGUUGUUGAAUCAUUUUUAACAUCCCCACCUGGAAGGCAAGUGCUCAUUUCUCCUUCUCAUGUGUGUCGUUAACUUACUUACCCUAAAUCACCCAUGCGGACUCCACCCAUGACCAGCCCCAUCCUAUCCCAGCCUAAUCCUUAGGCAACCGAGGCAGAGAAAACUCUAUGGCGAAGUCAACAGAAGGGUAUUAAUUCUAAUUAAUUCUAAUUACCCAAUACACCUUUGUGGAGCAUUGCGAUAGGGACCAUAGCGUAUUGACUAAAACUCCAUAGUCCUGUAGUCAAGGAACUACAGUUAUAGGAUCAAGAGGUACGGAAUUAAGGCCUGAACAGAAAGAAGACUGAGGCUGCAGCAAGUGCGCCAUGAAUCCGCCAUAUUCUGUAGAAGCCCCACGCCUGUUGAUUUGGUGUUUAUGAUACAUUCAAUGAUUUAACAAAUAUCAGCUGUGUCAGGUGCCAGGCAUUGCCCCAAGCACAGGAGACGCUGGGAUGCAUAAGAUAACACCAGCUGGAGUUGGCUUUGGGGCUGUUACUUCUUUCCCAUGAUCAGUCAUGCAUUUUUGUGGUAUUGAUCCUUGGCCCAGACCCUGACUGGCUAAAGCCAAUAAUUCUAUCCCAUCGCAUCUCUCUGGCCGCCAUUAUUUGAUCCAUGAUGGCAGAAACCCAGUCAGAACCACUGAAACCUGUGGAGAAGUCUUCUAGGGCUUCUGGGAAAAAGAAAGUUCUCUCCCCUCCUUGAAAGCCACUCCUUCUGUGAUCCGUAUGGUGUGAAGACAUAAAGACCUGAACAGCUUCUUUACUACUAGGUCAGAAGACCACGGAACUGCCAAUGGGAAGCCAUUUGAGGCCUGAAGAAGCAAGUGAUGCUUUGGAAUGCAAAGAGGAAAUAUGGAAAGGAACAAAACUGGUCCUUGAUGAUUCUAGAUCAAACUGUACCUGAAGCUGGUCCUGCCUCUGGCCUUUUCACUGACGCAAGUUUAUACAUCCCGUUAUUCUUCAAGCCAGUUUGAGUUGGAUUCCCUGUCAUUUUCAAUGGAAAGAUUUUUAACUCACCAUUUGCUUUUGUCAAAUUGAUGAUGACAUAUUAAUACCUUUUCAAUGAGUGAUGCUGGGAAAAUGGGGCCAUGCUGUGGGUUUCUGCUUCACUGUUUUCUUUAGUAUGUUGUUUUCAAUUGGAAUGAAUACCUUCUUAAAUCAUUUUCUUAGUGGUCUCCUUGUCCACACUUUACAACACAGAUCAAGUAUCACUUUCCCUAUGAAUUCAUUACUGAGCAAGAAUGAUAAACACUGGAAUUUUAGAUCUGUUGAGACUGUCCCAAGUAAAAGUUGAGUACUUGUUUUAAGUUAGAUAGACAUGAUUUUGAAACCUGACUCUCUAAUUUACUAGCUGUGUGACUUUCGACAAUUUGCCUAAACUCUCUAAGAUACUUCUCCCAACCUGUAAAAAUCCUGUUAAUAAUAGCAUCUUAUCCCAGACAACUUUUGUGAAGAUAAAAUGAAAUAGUUCAUGUACAACAAUUACCAAGGUGCUUGACACAGAAUAAAUGCUCAAUAAAUGUUGAUGCUGUUGUUAGUGUUAACAACUUAUCAAGGAACCUACCAUCUAGAAAGAGUCCAAUAAAUCUAAUCUGCAGUUGUUAGUACGAUAAAUAUCUGCUAUCUGAGUAAUUUAAAAAGUCAUGAAUAAUGUUUGAAUGAAUAUGAGUUAAUUAAAAUAUAAUUCAAUGAAAAAAUGAAUGAAUGAAUGAAUGGCAGCUGGAAACUGAGAGGCAGGGACACAAGUAGAGGGGCUGGGCCAGAGGAUACGAAGGAGGAAGAAAGAACUGAAAGAUACCCUGUGCUUGAUGAGAAUGCCCUUCCCAUGAUCUGUGUCCCCGUCAGGUGGAAUGUUCUGCAGUGCCGCUCCCUUCAUCCUCUCAUCACUGCGGGUCAUCUGUCGGAAGCUUCUUGAUGGGCAGCUUUACAGACAGCCAUAAAGCGGCAUUUAUGGCCAAAGCCAUCAUAUUUCGUUGAGCUCUGUGCUUAGGGUGUCUACACUAUUUUCUCUCUUUUCUCUGGGUCCUAGUCACUCUGCAAAGAAGAAAUUUAGCAGAGAUGGCUGAAUUCCUUCUCAUGGUUCUGCAUAGCCUCUGAGAUAAAAUGCAAGAAACCUCAAGAACCAGAAGGCCAUUAAGAAUAAAUAGGAUAAUGUGGACGUUUACUGAGUACUUACUUUAGUCCAGGCCUAAAGACUUGGCCGUCCAAGAUAACUCACCAUCUUGAGCUGUGGACCAGCUCAUGCAGUCUUCACCACUGUAUAUGCAGCUACGUACAGUAGCUCAACUUUGCUGAUGAAGAAACAGAGACACGUCAAGGUUGUGUUCCAUGUUCAAUGUCACAGGGAGCUGACACGAUGUUCACCCAGGUAGUCCACAUCCAGAACCUGUGCUCCAGGGAGCUCUAGGCUCCACUGUGUCUACACAAUGUGUCGACUCCUAUGGCACUUGAAGCUACAAACACAGUUGUCCCUCUAUUUCCCCUUAGACUCCACAACAAUGGACUCUACAGAAGUAAGUUUCUUAAAAUAAAAUUCUUCAAAUGUGGACACAUUAGAGACACUUUGAGAUGAUUUCAAGAGCUCCUAUUUAUAGAUUUCUUUGAAAAAGAGUUUUUACAAAUUUCCCUUUUUCCAUUGAUCCUUAAUAAGCAGUAGACAGACACUUCGACUCCUGUUUGGACUUGAACUUCACGGGACCAUGCAGCAUUCUUGGUGGAACUGGCACUGAGCAAAUUAGUUCCCAUCACUGAAUCUGGAUCAUGUAACAUCUGGGGCAGCCAAAUUCCACCAAGCAGAUUAAGCACAGAGUUUUGAAGGAAACCUCCACUGCGUGUAGAGGAUGGGAGAGACGGUGCCCUCACCGCCCAGGAUGGAAACUGGAGGGUGAGACUGUUCCUCCAUCAACCCUCCGGCAGCCACAAGAUUGCAGUCUGUCCGAUCAGAUCUAAUGGACCAGUGUUCAGCAAACCACACCUGCAAACAGGAGCCUAAAAGACCAAGCAUCAGCUUACAAAUUGUGUUACCGAACCAGCUUCAUUUUUGCCCAUCAUCUGGAAAGCCAAAUACGGAGGUGCCAAGAUUGCAGCAGAAAGGGAGUUUAAUCACAAGGCAGCUAAGUGAGGAAACAGGAGAACGAGUUUCAAAUCCACCCCCCUGAAAAAGGGGACUUAGGAAUAUUUAUGGGGUAGGGAGGUAAGGAGGUCUGAAAUGUGGAGAGAGGAGAGUGGAGGUGAGAUAACUGAUGAUCUGUGCAAGCAUAGUUCGGACUCCACGCCUCUUCAUAGGACGCAUGUUCACAAAAUGGCAUUGUUAGCAUGAUCCAAGGGUAGAGGUUUUAGCCUCUUGAUGUCAAAAAAUCACUUAAUGGACAUCUGUAUGCGUCCACUUGAUGGGUUGGUGGUCUCAACUGACCUGAAGUGGACAAAGGGAUUCCAAUGCCUCAAAAACAGCUCAAACACCCAUUACCAUGGUGACCCAGGUGCCAGGGAGAUGUUAUCUAUAGGAGCCUGGUGGGAGUCAGAUAGGAUAUUGCCUAAACAGCACAGUUAACAAUGGGCAGGUAAACAGCUAAAAACAAUAAUCAGUAACUGCAAAAAGGAAAAAAAACCAAAACCUU
Molecule: long non-coding RNA, 3881 nt
Filed under: Equus asinus (donkey)
Lineage: Eukaryota; Metazoa; Chordata; Mammalia; Perissodactyla; Equidae
Description: lncRNA (ENSEASG00005026421.1)
Source: RNAcentral